AAGAACAAAGUUUUGUCCAUCUUUGAUCAUCAUAGCUGAAAGUUAGAGAAGAGAAAAGAGAGGAGAAAGCUCUUGAGUAUUCGGUCAUUAGGAGGAGGAAAAUUGAAGGUAAGUUCUUGGUACCUUGCUUCUAUUUUGAGGUUCAUGAGUUCUUCUUGAUUCUACCUUAACUCUUGAAGUAUAUUUUGAUUUUUAGUUGUGUUGUGAGCAUUUAGUCAUGAAUUAAAAUGAAGGAAAUGGUUGUUGUUUCAUGUUCUUUUGAUGAAAAAUGGAAGAUAGGUGAAGUUGAGCCAAACAAAUGAGCAUGCAUGUGCCUUAGAUGUUAAAUGGAAAAAUCAGCUAACAUGUUGUGCUUUAAAAUGAUGAAAUGGAGAUUAUACUUAAGUAAAAUCAUAGAUAUGUGAUGAUUGAUUGGUGAUAUACAUGUUUAAAUAACAUGCAUGCAAGGUAUGUGUGAAAGAGUGAUUUGGUAAUAAAUCUGCUUGGGACAGCAGCAGUAACGUGACUUUGGAAAAUCACCAUAAAUUGUGGGAGAAGAAUUAGAAGCUGAAUAAAUUAUGUAAUUAAAUCUUAAUGAGUCUAGUUUCAAAUAAAAUAAACGAGAAUAUAUUUUGAAUUCUGUACAACGAGAAAUUUGAUUUGAAAUGAAGAGUGGUCAGAUUAGUCAAACAGUGAAACAUGGGAAACUUUAAGAAAAAUCUGGUAUUGAUUGGCCAUACCAAAAAUUCUGAAAAUUUUAUGGAUAGAAGAUAUAUGAGUCUAUUUUCAGGGAAAAUUAACGGCACUUGAUUUGGAGUUUCGUAGCUCCAGUUAUAAAUGAUUUAGUGACUGUCGCUCAGGAAGACAACUUGCAGUGAAAUUAUGAUUAUGUGGUAAACAUUGACAAAAAUUUGUUAAUGAGUUGCUUAUUGUUUUCUUAUAAGCUUACUAUGAUCUGUAGGUGUGGUUGGCCGAAUAUUGUAAGGGGUUAAUACGUAGUUUGUAUUUGAAUAGUUAGAUUAACGUGUUAGUAAUCCAAUUGUAGGCGGUUCGUGUGUGGAUCUCGUCAGCAUAUCGUCGCAAACAGGUGUGUAACUAACACCCUCUUUCUUAGUCUAGAUCGGCAAAAGUCGAAAAGCCGAAAUGCCGAAAACCGAUAUUUUGUAGAUUUGCGAGUGUGCGAAUGGUCGUGAGGUAAAUCGAUUAAUGUUUUUGGUAAGCUGCAUGUUUGGACUGCAAAGUGCAUGAUUUCUGUGCCCUCGAUAUUUUUGGGCUUAAUGGGCCAAAAUUGGAAUGAUGGGCCAACGGGCCCAAUUCGGUAAGAACCCUCGGUACGUGAUUCUGUUAGUACGUGAAAAGUAGGAAUAUGCAUGAAAAACCCUAAAAUAGAUAAAUUACUGAAAUACUUUAAAAGUAGAAAAUUUACAGUUUUACCCCCUAAGAGAUAAAUUACCGAAAUACCCCUAGGGUUAAAUUGACCUAAAUGCAUGUUUGACUGUUGUUAUUUACUGCAUGCCAUGUUGUUAUUAUCUGAUGCAUGGGACUGGGAUAUUGACGGAGGAAGUACUGAAAGUGGCUUGUCCACGUACUGGAGGCUUUGCCUCAAUUUACUGUUAACUGAGCAGCAAGGCUGCAACUGUGGAGUGUUGGGUUGGGUGGGUUGAGCUAUUCCCCACAUGGAGUGUAUGGCUGGUACGGGUGGAGUGUAGUGAUUGGUGGGUUGAGUAGUCUCCCCAAAUGGGCUUGCAUAUGUUAUUGAUGUUGCAUGUAUUUUGAAAUGGGCCUAUGGGCCAUACUGUUAUCUGAAUAAGGGGCUCAGGCCCAGUUUAUUGUAAUCUGAAAAGGGCUCUGGCCCAGUACCACUGUUACCUGAAUGGGCUUAGGCCCAAUAGGCUUGAGCUGACUUGGGCUUUGAAUGGGUUUUCCUUACACACUGAGUUUCCCCAAACUCACCCCUUUUAUUUUCAUCCACGCAGGAAAUCCCCAACCAUAGUGGGCUUGGAGCUGUGAGGGAAUUCGGAGUGGCCACCCAUUUUAAAAGUUUGGUUUUCUUCUGGUGAACUGAACAUCCUAUUAUUUACGUUGAAGUUUGGUUUUUUAAAUGUAAUAAGGC
RNAcentral lists this long non-coding RNA (2092 nucleotides) under Gossypium barbadense (sea-island cotton). Its description in RNAcentral is "long non-coding RNA (GBAR_LNC009542)". The record is from RNAcentral. Lineage: Eukaryota; Viridiplantae; Streptophyta; Magnoliopsida; Malvales; Malvaceae.